Non-coding RNA from Struthio camelus australis, 721 nucleotides. The record is from RefSeq and is a predicted model, not a curated record. Lineage: Eukaryota; Metazoa; Chordata; Aves; Struthioniformes; Struthionidae.
CUAAUAUCCUCUGAACAUUUCUCCAAGAAGGAGGUGAAUAUUCCUGUGUGAUUAAACCACAAUGAAUAAGAAGGAUGAAAGAUCAUUAACCCUGCAGGGAAAUCCUAACACUGAUGCUUCCAUCCACAGAUACAACAUUCACUUUUAAGUGAGUACCAGUCUGAUAUGAGUUGCUGAAGAUGGGUGAGCUGAGGAAGAAGCAAAUGAUGUUGGUGCUGUUAAGAUACUGGAAAUGGCCAGUUCUGCUGUGCAAAAGGGGCAGGACAAACAGCAUUCCCCGCAGAGAAUGCUUAUUAAGCAGCAUUUCUCAGUGGGAUAGUGCGAAACAGGCUCUUUUUCGUCUUCCCUCGUUGCCUGUUGGUAUUGAUUUACAAAGUCCUAAAUGGCUCAAGACUUUUCUGUCUAAGAGAGCUUCACAGCUGUGAUCAGGAGCAGUGCUUACAGUAGAGUCCCCAUCAUUGUAAAAGAAAAAGGGUAGCAUGAUAGAGCGUUCUCUCUACGGGGACAGAUUUGAAAAUGCUUCUCGUGUUUGCUUUGAAACAAUGUGGUGCAUGGCUGAUAUUUAGGGCACGCUAUUUGAGGGAAUCCAUGAAUGCCCCUAGAAAAGGAAGGAAGAAAUAAGGGGGGGUUGAUUAUGAUGAUUUGUUGGAUCUCUUUUUGUUCUGAGAUUUGUUGGCAGGCUUUGCUACUAAUUUGAUCUCAUUUGUUUUGGUAAUUUGAU